This is a long non-coding RNA of Melospiza georgiana, 687 nucleotides long. RefSeq lists it as uncharacterized. The record is from RefSeq and is a predicted model, not a curated record. Lineage: Eukaryota; Metazoa; Chordata; Aves; Passeriformes; Passerellidae. The transcript has 6 exons.
GCCGAAAGGAUUCGCGCCCUUUCGUCCCGUGCCCUUGGAGCUGCUGAGGCCACCAUGGAGGCCGCAGCGGCGCCGCGACCCCGCCGGCAGCGCCCGGACCCCGCCGGGACUGCGGAAACGCCUCCCCGCAGAAAGAUGUCGUGAAGUAAAGAAGCUGGGCCUUCCACCUGGCUGUGACACAGCAGCACGAGGAGCAGCUGGGAGAGGUGGCUCUGAUGUGAAGGUAGAGCCUGCAGGGCUGUGCUGGUGGUGAUGUCCCCCCAUUGAUGGGACAGCUCUCCCCGAGUCCUGUGGAGGGCACUGGGACAGCAGAGCAGGAGAAUCUGCUGGACACACAUAAAGGUCUGUUCCUGUUCCUGCCACAAAGUGUCAAUUUCCUGUGAUAUCACAUGAUGAAACUAACCCAAACUUGCUGGAAUUACCGGCAGAUUGACUGGUGGUGAGCAAAAGGUUUUCUGAUGAUAUCUGACUCAUUAACAAAUGCAUUAAUGAGGAUUAAAGCUGGUUACCUGACCCUGCUCCUGUGUUCCAGGUGGUGCUGCUGCAAACAUCUCUGAGGCACAAGGACUCCCAACAAAACACCUGGGCUUGAGGAGUUUGUGUAGACAGAACAUUUUUCUGCCUGUUACAAAGUGGUAACAGUUCAAAUGUUUUAUUACAUGUACAUUAAAAUAAUUCAAAAAGAAA